AUUAUUUUGGCAGAUUAGUGUGAUAAAUUUAGAAUUUAAUAAAGUAUAGGAUUAUACAAAUAAUA
This 65-nucleotide transfer RNA is filed under the name Seladonia tumulorum. Its description in RNAcentral is "tRNA-Leu". The record is from RNAcentral. Lineage: Eukaryota; Metazoa; Arthropoda; Insecta; Hymenoptera; Halictidae.